RNAcentral lists this unclassified non-coding RNA (2686 nucleotides) under Acyrthosiphon pisum (pea aphid). RNAcentral describes it as "serine/threonine-protein kinase NLK, transcript variant X2". Lineage: Eukaryota; Metazoa; Arthropoda; Insecta; Hemiptera; Aphididae. The record is from RNAcentral.
AGUCAUUCUGAAUUCUGAUAAUCUGAUUCAGUGUCGGUCGUACGACUUGGCAAACGGUCGUUCGUCGUCUCUGUGAGGUUUGUCCCGGGCAAUGCGCGCUCGAACACGGUUGUAACAAUAAUAUUGUCCCAUUCUCCUGUGUUUUUGUUUAAUCGAACGUCUUUCAUUAUCAACGUCUACGUUGUUGUUGAAAUUAUUAUUACCCAUUGUUUUACUGCCCGUCGACUCUUAUCACACGCAUAAGUGUCCCAAUACCGAGACAAAAACAAUAAUUUUUGUUCGAUUAUAAAAUAUUUAUUAUUCCGUUCACAUUUAUCUUUUAUAAUAUUAUAAUAUAAUAUAAUAAAUAAUUUAAAACGUGUACCAUACGUCAAUACAUAACAUUUAACGAGGUCUACGUAGUCAACCGUGUCUGUGAAUCCGCGGGUUCUCUGGUCGUCCUCGUCUUCGUCGAUAAUCCCUCACCGUAAAUGAGAACGAAACCAGCCGUGCGCCGGAAUUCGUGGACUAACCGUCACUGACGUACUGUUAUGGCUGUGGUCGGCCCGAGCCGACACUCCAGGGUGUCAAUGUCGCUGAUGCAGGGCUCGACGAACGGUCCAGUGGGCAACCACCAGCAGGCCAGCGCCUCGCAACAGUUUUUCCACGCUCAGCAGCAAUCUCACCAUGCCGCACAAUCGGCCUCUGCACAUCCGGUGGACUACAAACCUGACAGACCAAUUGGAUAUGGCGCAUUCGGAGUCGUCUGGGCUGUAACAGAUCCAAGAGACGGACGAAGAGUCGCGUUGAAAAAGCUUCCAAAUGUUUUUCAAUCACUAGUCUCCUCGAAACGAGUUUUUAGAGAGUUAAAAAUGUUAUGCAAUUUCAAACACGAAAACGUAUUAUCCGCCCUUGACAUUCUGCAACCGCCUCAUUUGGAUUUCUUUCAAGAAAUAUACGUGAUAACCGAACUAAUGCAGAGCGACUUGCACAAAAUUAUAGUGUCGCCACAGCAGCUGUCACCAGACCAUAUAAAAGUUUUCCUCUACCAGAUCCUCAGGGGUCUCAAGUAUCUACAUUCGGCACGAAUAUUGCACAGAGAUAUUAAACCAGGAAAUCUGCUUGUCAACAGUAAUUGUAUUCUAAAGAUUUGUGACUUUGGUCUGGCCAGAGUAGAAGAACCAGAUGAGACCAAACACAUGACUCAAGAAGUGGUGACGCAAUAUUAUAGGGCGCCGGAAAUACUUAUGGGAGCCAAACACUACACAUCGGCCAUAGACGUGUGGAGUGUCGGUUGUAUAUUUGCCGAACUCGUCACCAGGCGGAUACUGUUCCAAGGCCAAGACACGGUUCAACAAUUGGAAUUGAUAACGGACUUGCUCGGUACGCCGACUAUGGAAGACAUGGCCCACGCGUGUCCGGCAGCCCGUUCCCACAUGCUCAUACGACGCAUGAAGAAACCGUCCAUGUCUCUGUUGUACUCUCUGUCUUCGUUGAUGACGCACGAGGCGGUUCACCUGAUUUCCCAGAUGCUAGUUUUCAAUCCGGACAAACGGAUGUCCGUCAUGGACGCGCUGGUCCAUCCUUACAUAGACGAGGGCCGUCUGAGGUAUCACAGCUGCAUGUGCAAAUGCUGUUUCACGGUACCGUUGACGGGUCUUCGGCAUUUCUGUAUGGAUUACGAACCGGUGGCGCCACAGACAUUCGACGAUAAAUGGGAGAAGAAAAUGUCGAAUGUACAACAAGUCAAAGAGGAACUUCACAAGUUUAUCGGCGACCAGUUGAGCAGUCACCGUGUGCCAUUGUGCAUAAAUCCCCAGUCGGCGGCAUUUAAAAGUUUCUCGAGGUAAGGCUGUGAGAAACGUCCACUCUUCUGAAUCACCAAAUAAAACUACACCUCGACUAACCGUGAUGUUUGAUCGGAGCAGACUGCCUCAUUUCCCUAUAUUUAUAUGUACCUAUCUACAUUGUAUAUAUAUAUAUAUAUAUAUAUAUUAUAUUAACGUGAUAACCGGAUCUCAAAUUGCGCCCCCCCGAGACCGAGACUGAAUGAAUAUAACACAAUGAAAUCGAGACAAGAAGAUUAAACAAAAAAAAAAAUGUACAUAAUCCUGAAUUUUUCUUUUUUUCUUUUUAUUGUAUGUGUGAGCAAAAUGCUUGAUUUUUACUUAUUUAGACGAUUGAAUGAAAGCUCAGUGCCCAAUUUUUCUUUUUUUUAGUACGCUUAUUUUCUUAUAAUUAUUAUAAUUUUUAAUUUUUUUUUUUUUUUACCAUCCAUGAAACCUGAUCAUUACACCAAAAACCACUUAUUAUGAUAUCAAGCUCUGAUUUUCGAUGUUUACCAAUAUUAUAUGAUAACGUACCUAUUUAUAAAUAUGAAAAAAAAAUUAUACUCGUUUUUUAAACAUAACUCAUCCGGUAAUGAUAUUAACAGCAUAUACAUUAUACAUUCACGUUAAACGCCAUGGGUUUAAAGACGUAACGUCAGAUUUAAACGGCCGUAAAACGUAAUGUAUCGGAAAGACGUGAAUUUUUAUUUUUUAAUUAUAUAUGUAAUAUAGUAACGCGGUAAAAGACGAAUAACGACAACGCGCUCGUGUGCGUGGAAGAUAAUUUUUGUAAAUAACGUGUCUUUGUGAUUUUUUUUCGUAAUGUAUAUAAUUAUUUGUACAAUUUAAAUGUGUAUUAUAAUAAUAUGUGAAUCGCA